AAUCAACGCUGGCGGCGUGCCUCAGACAUGCAAGUCGAACGAUUAAAGCUCUCUUCGGAGAGUGUAUAGAGUGGCGCACGGGUGAGUAACACGUAAGUAAUCUACCUUUGAGUGGGGAAUAACAGUCGGAAACGACUGCUAAUACCGCAUAAUGCAGCGGCACCGCAAGGUGACAGUUGUUAAAGGAGCAAUUCGCUUAAAGAGGAGCUUGCGGCAGAUUAGCUUGUUGGUAAGGUAACGGCUUACCAAGGCUACGAUCUGUAUCCGGUCUUAGAGGUCGGUCGGACACACUGACACUGAAUAACGGGUCAGACUCCUACGGGAGGCGGCAGUCGGGAAUUUUGGGCAAUGGGCGAAAGCCUGACCCAGCAACGCCGCGUGAAGGAUGAAGUAUUUCGGUAUGUAAAC
RNAcentral lists this ribosomal RNA (408 nucleotides) under uncultured bacterium. RNAcentral's name for it is "bacterial SSU rRNA". It matches the Rfam family "Bacterial small subunit ribosomal RNA", at positions 32 to 430 of the family's 1533-position model. The record is from RNAcentral.